AAAAGUCGUAACAAGGUCUCCGUUGGUGAACCAGCGGAGGGAUCAUUACUGAGUUGAAAAACUCCAACCCCUGUGAACAUAACCUCUGUCGUUGCUUCGGCGGGCACGCCCGCCGGAGGUUCAAAACUCUUAUUUUUUCCAGUAUCUCUGAGCCUGAAAGACAAAUAAUCAAAACUUUCAACAACGGAUCUCUUGGUUCUGGCAUCGAUGAAGAACGCAGCGAAAUGCGAUAAGUAAUGUGAAUUGCAGAAUUCAGUGAAUCAUCGAAUCUUUGAACGCACAUUGCGCCCGCCGGUAUUCCGGCGGGCAUGCCUGUUCGAGCGUCAUUUCAACCCUCAAGCCUCGGCUUGGUGUUGGGGCGCCCGGGCCCUCCGCGGCCCGGGGCCCCCAAGUUCAUCGGCGGGCUCGUCGGUACACUGAGCGCAGUAAAACGCGGUAAAACGCGAACCUCGUUCGGAUCGUCCCGGCGUGCUCCAGCCGCUAAACCCCCAAUUUUUUAAAGGUUGACCUCGGAUCAGGUAGGAAUACCCGCUGAACUUAAGCAUAUCAAUAAGC
RNAcentral lists this ribosomal RNA (555 nucleotides) under Pyricularia oryzae. Its description in RNAcentral is "eukaryotic LSU rRNA". The stretch from base 173 to 326 matches the Rfam family "5.8S ribosomal RNA". The record is from RNAcentral. Lineage: Eukaryota; Fungi; Ascomycota; Sordariomycetes; Magnaporthales; Pyriculariaceae.